GAUAUGCAAAAAAAGUUUACAGUGCAUCUUCACAUUUAUUAUAGAGUGGCUGCGAUUUCACAAGCAGGAAGAGAACAUCAACAAAAUGAAGAUGAGAAUUAAUUAAGUCUGACGACGUCAUUCUAAUAUCCACCUGGUGAAAUGUCACCACGAAUCCCUGGAUUCUUAUAGAGCUCACCUUUCACUCCCAGAAUUUCACAGCAGCCACAACAAAAGCGUUACCAUGGGAACUGUUCUAACAAGUAAUAAUUCAGAUGCCUCUCCAACAGGUUGGACACCACACAUAUAAUUCUACUGCGAAUUGGUUUUUCCCAGCGGGAUUCAUUUUUGGAUGUUGGUGUUUUACAUGAUAUACCCACUAUACCAGGUGAUGAUUCUGGGGCAUGUUUGAGUCGGCGUCCCCUCCUGCAAACCCAUCUCCCUCUGGUUGAUUAUAUGCUUCUGUCUCUGACAGCAGAUCCCUCCCUGUUCUUCACGCCGCUCAUCACAUUCAGCAGCAGAGAGGUGUUGGUUCCUACCCGCCCAGUCUGACAUUUUGGGAGUCACAGGAGCACCAGGACAAGGACUUUCUCCAGAGGGGACAAUGAGGGACCUCUCCAAAGAAUGACCCUCAGACAUGAUGUGCUCACUGGGAAGUCCUGGAACAACCUGACACUGGCAAUGAGGGAGUGUCAUCUCCCACUUUCAACAGUCAACUCAGAGGCUGAAAGUAAACGGUUCCAGGAUCCUU
Molecule: long non-coding RNA, 730 nt
Organism: Oryzias melastigma (Indian medaka)
Lineage: Eukaryota; Metazoa; Chordata; Actinopteri; Beloniformes; Adrianichthyidae
Exons: 4
Source: RefSeq, a predicted model, not a curated record